GAUGAACGCUGGCGGCGUGCCUAAUACAUGCAAGUCGAGCGAACAGACGAGGAGCUUGCUCCUCUGACGUUAGCGGCGGACGGGUGAGUAACACGUGGAUAACCUACCUAUAAGACUGGGAUAACUUCGGGAAACCGGAGCUAAUACCGGAUAAUAUAUUGAACCGCAUGGUGCAAUAGUGAAAGACGGUUUUGCUGUCACUUAUAGAUGGAUCCGCGCCGCAUUAGCUAGUUGGUAAGGUAACGGCUUACCAAGGCAACGAUGCGUAGCCGACCUGAGAGGGUGAUCGGCCACACUGGAACUGAGACACGGUCCAGACUCCUACGGGAGGCAGCAGUAGGGAAUCUUCCGCAAUGGGCGAAAGCUUGACGGAGCAACGCCGCGUGAGUGAUGAAGGUCUUCGGAUCGUAAAACUCUGUUAUUAGGGAAGAACAAAUGUGUAAGUAACUAUGCACGUCUUGACGGUACCUAAUCAGAAAGCCACGGCUAACUACGUG
Molecule: ribosomal RNA, 497 nt
Filed under: uncultured bacterium
Lineage: Bacteria
Description: partial 16S ribosomal RNA
Rfam family: Bacterial small subunit ribosomal RNA
Source: RNAcentral